This 73-nucleotide transfer RNA is filed under the name Cordylochernes scorpioides. RNAcentral describes it as "tRNA-Thr". It matches the Rfam family "tRNA". Rfam says of the family: Transfer RNA (tRNA) molecules are approximately 80 nucleotides in length. The record is from RNAcentral. Lineage: Eukaryota; Metazoa; Arthropoda; Arachnida; Pseudoscorpiones; Chernetidae.
UCCAGGGUAGCCUAGUGUACAUGGCAUCUGCCCAGUAAACGGAACACUGUGGGUUCGAUUCCCAUCCCUGGAC